GAUGAACGCUGGCGGCAUGCCUAACACAUGCAAGUCGAUCGGUAAGGCUCUUCGGAGUACACGAGAGGCGGACGGCUGAGUAACGCGUAGGAACACACCCUGCAGUGAGGGAUAAGACACCGAAAGGUGUUCUAAUACCGCAUACGGUCUUCGGAUUAAAGCAUUUAUGCGCUGAAGGAGUGGCCUGCGUCAUAUUAGAUAGUUGGUGAGGUAAUGGCUCACCAAGUCGAUGAUGUGUAGCUGGUCUGAGAGGAUGAUCAGCCAGACUGGAACUGAGACACGGUCCAGACUCCUACGGGAGGCAGCAGUGAGGAAUAUUUCACAAUGAGCGAAAGCUUGAUGGAGCAAUGCCGCGUGCAGGAUGAAGGCCCUCGGGUUGUAAACUGCGUUUAUAAGAGAAGAUUAUGACGGUAACUUAUGAAUAAGGGACGGCUAACUACGUG
Molecule: ribosomal RNA, 443 nt
Filed under: uncultured bacterium
Lineage: Bacteria
Description: partial 16S ribosomal RNA
Rfam family: Bacterial small subunit ribosomal RNA
Source: RNAcentral